UACAGAGGUGGCAAGCGUUGUUCGGAAUUACUGGGCGUAAAGGGCGCGUAGGCGGCCUUCUCAGUCGGACGUGAAAUCCCCGGGCUUAACUCGGGAACUGCGUCCGAUACUGGAAGGCUGGAGUUCGGGAGAGGGAUGUGGAAUUCCAGGUGUAGCGGUGAAAUGCGUAGAUAUCUGGAGGAACACCGGUGGCGAAGGCGGCAUCCUGGACCGAAACUGACGCUGAGGCGCGAAAGCCAGGGGAGCAAACGGG
Molecule: ribosomal RNA, 253 nt
Filed under: uncultured bacterium
Lineage: Bacteria
Description: partial 16S ribosomal RNA
Rfam family: Bacterial small subunit ribosomal RNA
Source: RNAcentral